CGUCCAUCUCGAGCGGCCGAGAGACCCGGCUCCGCGACGCCGCAGCAACCCUCUCCACGUGUGGUGCGGGGUGCUUCCGCCGGGAUUCGAUGGAGG
This 96-nucleotide non-coding RNA is filed under the name Pseudonocardia sp. RNAcentral describes it as "SAM-I sequence". It matches the Rfam family "SAM riboswitch aptamer (S box leader)". From Rfam's summary of the family: The SAM riboswitch is found upstream of a number of genes which code for proteins involved in methionine or cysteine biosynthesis in Gram-positive bacteria. Lineage: Bacteria; Bacillati; Actinomycetota; Actinomycetes; Pseudonocardiales; Pseudonocardiaceae. The record is from RNAcentral.